GGAGUGNNGCNUGCGUUNAAUUUGACUCAAUCACGGNGAAACUCACCCGGCANNGGACACGANGGAUUGACAGAUUGACAGCUACUUUGGUUGAUUCUGUGGGUGGUGGCUGCAUGGCCGUUCUUAGUUGGUGAGAGCGAUUCUGUCUGGUUAAUUCCGAGAUACGAACGAGACCUC
RNAcentral lists this ribosomal RNA (177 nucleotides) under Botryllus sp. CM-2000. RNAcentral's name for it is "partial 18S ribosomal RNA". It matches the Rfam family "Eukaryotic small subunit ribosomal RNA", at positions 1173 to 1344 of the family's 1831-position model. Lineage: Eukaryota; Metazoa; Chordata; Ascidiacea; Stolidobranchia; Styelidae. The record is from RNAcentral.